CGAACGGGUGAGUAAUACGUGAGUAACCUACCUUUAACUCUGGGAUAAGCCUGGGAAACUGGGUCUAAUACCGGAUACGACCAAUCUCCGCAUGGGGUGUUGGUGGAAAGCGUUAUGUAGUGGUUAUAGAUGGGCUCACGGCCUAUCAGCUUGUUGGUGAGGUAACGGCUCACCAAGGCGACGACGGGUAGCCGGCCUGAGAGGGUGACCGGCCACACUGGGACUGAGACACGGCCCAG
This 239-nucleotide ribosomal RNA is filed under the name uncultured bacterium. RNAcentral's name for it is "partial 16S ribosomal RNA". It matches the Rfam family "Bacterial small subunit ribosomal RNA", at positions 99 to 334 of the family's 1533-position model. The record is from RNAcentral.